UGUACGUUUUCCUGAAAGAAUUAGGUAUUUAGAACCUUAUGGAGUGAUAGUUUAUGGGCCACCUCCUGAAUUCACUGGAAGUGUGCUUUCUCCUAAGGUAAUUUAUUAUAUUUCGCCUCGUGAACAGAUAGCAUAUAGGCCACCUGGAAUGAUAGGAAGUGCGCCUCUGCCUGAAGGAACUAGUUAUGGAGCGCCUUAUCGCCUGAUCGUUUUUGGGCCACCUCCAGGAUUGAAGAGAAGUGUGCGCUUUCCUAAUAUACUGUAUUAUGUUUCGCUUAAUGGACUGUUUGCUUACGAGCCACCCGCUGGAAUGAUCGGAAGUACACCUUGUCAAGUAAUCGGUCAUGGGCUGUCAUCCAAAAUGGCUGUGGCUGAGGAAGAAUCGGAGCAAGAGCUUCCUACUGAUUCGGAACGUGAAAUUGAAGGAGCUGAUGAAAGUAGUGUUCAAAUGACACAAAUGUCACCAAUAUCUCAGAAUAAUUUAGAAAGAGAAAUUUUAAGCGAAUCAGAAGGCGGAGGCAAAUGUGUCCACAGAAACAAAUUUUGAAAUUUCUGAUGAAUUUUCUGUUGACAGUGCUGAACAAAUAAGAAGACAAAAUUUUAAAUUUAGGAAAAACAACAUGCAAAAGUUAAACAAUUUAGUUAAAUCAGAAGAAAGCGUGGAGAAAAAUAAGAAUAUUUUGCCAGAAAAAGGAUUCACGCAAAAAUGUAAAAAAGAGAAUUCAGAUGAUGAAUCCAACUCUUACAAUCAAUUAAAUAAUUGUAUUUCAUCCGAUUCUAUUAAACCAGAUGUCGAAAUCAUGACCAAUAAUGA
Molecule: long non-coding RNA, 814 nt
Organism: Centruroides sculpturatus (bark scorpion)
Lineage: Eukaryota; Metazoa; Arthropoda; Arachnida; Scorpiones; Buthidae
Exons: 4
Source: RefSeq, a predicted model, not a curated record